UGCAUGUGUUCACCCCUCCCCAAAUCCAUGUGUUGAAAUCCGAAUCCCCAACAUGAUGGUGAGGAGGUGGAGGCUCUGGGAAGUGAUUAGGUCAUGAUGGUGAGGAGGUGGAGGAUCUGGAAGUGAUCAGGUCCUGAUGGUGAGGAGGUGGAGGAUCUGGAAGUGAUUAGGUGGUGAUGGUGAGGAGGUGGAGGAUCUGGAAGUGAUUAGGUCGUGAUGGUGAGGAGGUGGAGGAUCUGGGAAGUGAUUAGGUCGUGAUGGUGAGGAGGUGGAGGAUCUGGAAGUGAUUAGGUCGUGAUGGCGAGGAGGUGGAGGAUCUGGGAAGUGAUUAGGUCGUGAUGGUGAGGAGGUGGAGGAUCUGGGAAGUGAUUAGGUCGUGAUGGUGAGGAGGUGGAGGCUCUGGGAAGUGAUUAGGUAGUGAUGGUGAGGAGAUGGAGGAUCUGGAAGUGAUUAGCUCAUGAUGGUGAGGAAGUAGAGGAUCUGGAAGUGAUUAGGUCGUGAUGGUGAGGAGGUGGAGGAUCUGGAAGUGAUUAGGUCGUGAUGGUGAGGAGGUGGAGGCUCUGGGAAGUGAUUAGGUCGUGACGGUGAGGAGGUGGAGGAUCUGGAAGUGAUUAGGUCGUGAUGGUGAGGAGGUGGAGGCUCUGGGAAGUGAUUAGGUCGUGAUGGUGAGGAGGUGGAGGAUCUGGAAGUGAUUAGGUGGUGAUGGUGAGGAGGUGGAGGAUCUGGAAGUGAUUAGGUCGUGAUGGUGAGGAGGUUGAGGAUCUGGAAGUGAUUAGGUCGUGAUGGUGAGGAGGUGGAGGAUCUGGAAGUGAUUAGGUCGUGAUGGUGAGGAGGUGGAGGAUCUGGAAGUGAUUAGGUCGUGAUGGUGAGGAGGUGGAGGAUCUGGAAGUGAUUAGGUCGUGAUGGUGAGGAGGUGGAGGAUCUGGAAGUGAUUAUGUCAUGAUGGUGAGGAGGUGGAGGCUCUGGACGUGAUUAGGUCGUGAUGGUGAGGAGGUGGAGGAUCUGGAAGUGAUUAGGUCGUGAUGGUGAGGAGGUGGAGGAUCUGGAAUUGAUUAGGUCGUUUUGGUGACAAGGUGGAGGAUCUGGAAGUGAUUAGGUCGUGAUGGUGAGGAGGUGGAGGAUCUGGAAGUGAUUAGGUCGUGACGGUGAGGAGGUGGAGGAUCUGGAAGUGAUUAGGUCGUCAGGG
Molecule: long non-coding RNA, 1186 nt
Filed under: Homo sapiens (human)
Lineage: Eukaryota; Metazoa; Chordata; Mammalia; Primates; Hominidae
Description: HSALNT0324753
Source: RNAcentral